GUGGGGAAUUUUGGACAAUGGGCGCAAGCCUGAUCCAGCAAUGCCGCGUGCAGGAAGAAGGCCUUCGGGUUGUAAACUGCUUUUGUACGGAACGAAAAGGCUCUGGUUAAUACCUGGGGCUCAUGACGGUACCGUAAGAAUAAGCACCGGCUAACUACGUGCCAGCAGCCGCGGUAAUACGUAGGGUGCAAGCGUUAAUCGGAAUUACUGGGCGUAAAGCGUGCGCAGGCGGUUUUGUAAGACAGACGUGAAAUCCCCGGGCUCAACCUGGGAAUGGCGUUUGUGACUGCAAAGCUGGAGUGCGGCAGAGGGGGAUGGAAUUCCGCGUGUAGCAGUGAAAUGCGUAGAUAUGCGGAGGAACACCGAUGGCGAAGGCAAUCCCCUGGGCCUGCACUGACGCUCAUGCACGAAAGCGUGGGGAGCAAACAGGAUUAGAAACCCGAGUAGUCC
This 450-nucleotide ribosomal RNA is filed under the name uncultured bacterium. RNAcentral's name for it is "partial 16S ribosomal RNA". It matches the Rfam family "Bacterial small subunit ribosomal RNA", at positions 354 to 796 of the family's 1533-position model. The record is from RNAcentral.